AAAUACUUAUUAUUAUUUUAGUAUGUCCACUUUUUAGCGAUUUAUUUUCUCUUCCCUCAUUAUCUCGGUUUGUGGCCGUUCAAGAAAAGGAUUUAGAGGAAAAGUGACGUCUCACUCAAUUCUUCAAUACCAACCGAAAAUUUUUGAGCUUUCCCUAAGAAACACACGACGAAGAAAGAAGAAAGAAGAAAGAAAGAAAGAUGAGCUACUACUUUCCUUUAUUUCC
RNAcentral lists this non-coding RNA (226 nucleotides) under uncultured Mamiellales. The record is from RNAcentral. Lineage: Eukaryota; Viridiplantae; Chlorophyta; Mamiellophyceae; Mamiellales.